This 1531-nucleotide long non-coding RNA is filed under the name Citrus x clementina. RNAcentral's name for it is "Citrus clementina (C. clementina) long non-coding RNA (CCLE_LNC004489)". The record is from RNAcentral. Lineage: Eukaryota; Viridiplantae; Streptophyta; Magnoliopsida; Sapindales; Rutaceae.
CAUGCGCCAAUUGUUUGGAAGUCCUCAAUAGCAGUAAAAAUUUAGUGGUGCGCUUUACUCUUGAGAAAGCAGCACAAAUGAACCAUAAAACUCCACCAUAUUUAAUGAUUUUAAAAUCAGGAUCAUUAUAGUACUACAACAUAGGUCAUACAAAUAUGCGUUUUGCUUGAUUAAUUAGAAAUAGAGAACAACAUAAUAGAACAGCAUGAACCCACCACCGGACACCAGUUUUAUAAAUUUUUUUUUUAAUGUAUUGCCUUACGAUAACUCGAUUCCUUGUAGACUCAUAUGUGAACAGAUGUGAACCUCAAACAUAUAAUCUUACUUCAACAAGUUUUACCGUAAAAUUAGCUAGCACCAUUUGUAAUGUUGUUGAUAGGCUUUGAUAGUUUAAAAAAAAUAUUGAGUAAAAACUAGCUAGAUUAAUAAACUACUUAGCCACUCGGCAUACUGCAUAUUUGAUUCCAUCCAUAAAUCGAUUUUCUUCCCUAUGAGUUCGAGUCUCAAUAAGAAUGUUAGUUCUUACUGUUCAUAUGUUAUGAUAUGAAUAUACCACACCAAUUCAUUAUGUAUAGAUGAUGAGAUUCCAUUGAUACAGAGCCAAUUCAAAUCCAAGUUGGAGAGCAGCAGUUCGAACCCCCACAAUGCAUGUGGGGGUGUUUCCUUCCUCAAAUAAAAUUGAGUGAAGGCAGUCUGUUUUCUUGUCCCAGUACGAGGAGUAGACAUCCCUCGAAUAUUUGAGAGGGUUAAAAUCUGGGCAGCGCUCCAUUAGAUUUGAUGUAUGUUGGUCCCAAUUAUAGUCUGAUUUGUACAUAUCUGUUAUAUUCUCAUGUAAUAUGAGUUGUAAUCUGAGUCUCAUGUAAUCAAAAAUAAAAAAUAAAAAAUAAACUUCUUUGCCCUUAUUUUACCUUAUUGAUACAAUAAUAUUAGAAAUUCUAACAUUUAAGUCUCAGUUUUGAGUCCUAUUAUUAUGUGUCAUUCAUUUAUUAAAUGAUUUAUUUCAUAACUCAUGAACUUACUAAAACACCGUUCAAUAAAUGAAUACCACAUCACUUAAAAUUCAAAUUGAGACUGAUAUGUUAGAAUGUCUAGCACAAAGUAAUUAAUGGAGAACAAAUUGUAACUCUCUUUCUUCUAUGGUUUUGCGAAAUUUUUUAUUAUUUUACAUUUUUAUGGCUUUCAAUCUCUUUAUUUACCUUUGUGCGUCUGAUUUUCCUCUACUUCCCUUAUCUUAACCUUGACUAAAGUAAUAACGAGAAUAUAUAUAUAUACGUACGCAAUGGAUCCGUGAUCCCUUGCACAAAUUUUUACUUUUAGAUACGGAUGUAUAUAUAUAAAGAGUCAAUUUGUGUAAAACUUAGCUGAUUGUGCAAAUUAUUAGUUGUUGGGAUUUUAAACAAACGACAAGCAAUUUACUAUUUAUCUGCAAUAAUUAGGCUUGGAAAAAGUAGUAGUUAGUUAAUGGUAUUAUGAUAAUGUUUUGAUUUUAACCAACAAUUCACAUAAUUAGUAGUCAGUUAUGAUAAUGUUU